Molecule: ribosomal RNA, 253 nt
Filed under: uncultured bacterium
Lineage: Bacteria
Description: partial 16S ribosomal RNA
Rfam family: Bacterial small subunit ribosomal RNA
Source: RNAcentral
UACGUAGGGUGCAAGCGUUAUCCGGAAUUAUUGGGCGUAAAGAGCUCGUAGGCGGUUUGUCGCGUCUGCUGUGAAAACUGGAGGCUCAACCUCCAGCUUGCAGUGGGUACGGGCAAACUAGAGUGCGGUAGGGGAGAUUGGAAUUCCUGGUGUAGCGGUGGAAUGCGCAGAUAUCAGGAGGAACACCAGCGGCGAAGGCGGCGCUCUGGGCCGGUACUGACGCUGAGGAGCGAAAGCGUGGGUAGCAAACAGG